GGGACAGCAGCUAAAGUCUAAGGUGUAUGGCUUGUAGUGGCUCAGAGAGAGAGGGGACCUUCUAUAGAGUUGAUUGAGAGCCUUUUGUGAGAGUUUUAUCUUCUUAUUGAGAGAGAGAUAUUGAUGUAUGAGAGUUGAGAGGGUAUGAUCUCCUCUUAUAUUUAUUUUCUUUCAUUGUGAAGUUUGCAUAUCCCGUGGAAGUAAGUCU
This 208-nucleotide long non-coding RNA is filed under the name Elaeis guineensis (African oil palm). Its description in RNAcentral is "long non-coding RNA (EGUI_LNC047534)". Lineage: Eukaryota; Viridiplantae; Streptophyta; Magnoliopsida; Arecales; Arecaceae. The record is from RNAcentral.